RNAcentral lists this ribosomal RNA (450 nucleotides) under uncultured bacterium. Its description in RNAcentral is "partial 16S ribosomal RNA". It matches the Rfam family "Bacterial small subunit ribosomal RNA", at positions 354 to 796 of the family's 1533-position model. The record is from RNAcentral.
GUGGGGAAUAUUGGACAAUGGGCGAAAGCCUGAUCCAGCCAUGCCGCGUGUGUGAAGAAGGUCUUCGGAUUGUAAAGCACUUUAAGUUGGGAGGAAGGGCAGUAAGUUAAUACCUUGCUGUUUUGACGUUACCGACAGAAUAAGCACCGGCUAACUUCGUGCCAGCAGCCGCGGUAAUACGAAGGGUGCAAGCGUUAAUCGGAAUUACUGGGCGUAAAGCGCGCGUAGGUGGUUUUGUAAGUUGGAGGUGAAAACCCCGGGCUCAACCUGGGAACUGCCUCCAAAACUGCAUGACUAGAGUACGGUAGAUGGGAGUGGAAUUUCCUGUGUAGCGGUGAAAUGCGUAGAUAUAGGAAGGAACACCAGUGGCGAAGGCGACUACCUGGACUGAUACUGACACUGAGGUGCGAAAGCGUGGGGAGCAAACAGGAUUAGAUACCCUAGUAGUCC